UGAUGCAUGUUAUUACCUAGUAGUAUUCAAAAUGCAAACAUAAGUGAAAAUCUUUGAAAAUCGAUAACAGAAUAUUUGAGAUUUUGAUCCUUAUAUUUUUUCAAACCAGAAAUGAUGAACCAGCUAAAUCCAAAACUGAAAUAAGUUUCACGCCUAUAUCUUGAAUUCAAACUUAGUUUAUGGGAAAAUCAGAAGUACCUCAAGGUGAUUAUUGAAUCCUACUAUAUAAAAGGGACUAAAUUCAAGGCUUUUGAGACUAUCCACCUCAGCCAAAAUAUUCUCAUCCAAAAAAAAUUAAAAAUAAAUAUCAUUUAGAAGAUAAUUAACUAACAUAAAACUUUUGAUAUUUCUAGAAAUUUCAAAUUUGUAACUGCUCCUACUAUAUAAAAGGGACUAAAUUCAAGGCUUUUGAGACUAUCCACCUCAGCCAAAAUAUUCUCA
This 441-nucleotide long non-coding RNA is filed under the name Brassica rapa (field mustard). Its description in RNAcentral is "long non-coding RNA (BRAP_LNC000949)". The record is from RNAcentral. Lineage: Eukaryota; Viridiplantae; Streptophyta; Magnoliopsida; Brassicales; Brassicaceae.